CACGUAGGGGGCGAGCGUUGUCCGGAUUUAUUGGGCGUAAAGAGCUCGUAGGCGGCUUAGUAAGUUGGGUGGGAAACCUCCAGGCUCAACCUGGAGACGCCACCCGAUACUGCUAUAGCUAGAGUCCGGUAGGGGAGCGUGGAAUUCCUGGUGUAGCGGUGAAAUGCGCAGAUAUCAGGAGGAACACCAGCGGCGCAAGCGGCGGCCUGGGUAUGACCUGACACUGAGCCACGACGGCGUGGGGAGCAAACGGG
Molecule: ribosomal RNA, 254 nt
Filed under: uncultured bacterium
Lineage: Bacteria
Description: partial 16S ribosomal RNA
Rfam family: Bacterial small subunit ribosomal RNA
Source: RNAcentral